This 1751-nucleotide ribosomal RNA is filed under the name Clathrospora diplospora. Its description in RNAcentral is "SSU rRNA". It matches the Rfam family "Eukaryotic small subunit ribosomal RNA". Lineage: Eukaryota; Fungi; Ascomycota; Dothideomycetes; Pleosporales; Diademaceae. The record is from RNAcentral.
GCUUGUCUCAAAGAUUAAGCCAUGCAUGUCUAAGUAUAAGCAAUUAUACCGUGAAACUGCGAAUGGCUCAUUAAAUCAGUUAUCGUUUAUUUGAUAAUACCUUACUACUUGGAUAACCGUGGUAAUUCUAGAGCUAAUACAUGCUGAAAAUCCCGACUUCGGAAGGGAUGUGUUUAUUAGAUAAAAAACCAAUGCCCUUCGGGGCUUUUUGGUGAUUCAUGAUAACUUUACGGAUCGCAUAGCCUUGCGCUGGCGACGGUUCAUUCAAAUUUCUGCCCUAUCAACUUUCGAUGGUAAGGUAUUGGCUUACCAUGGUUUCAACGGGUAACGGGGAAUUAGGGUUCGAUUCCGGAGAGGGAGCCUGAGAAACGGCUACCACAUCCAAGGAAGGCAGCAGGCGCGCAAAUUACCCAAUCCCGACACGGGGAGGUAGUGACAAUAAAUACUGAUACAGGGCUCUUUUGGGUCUUGUAAUUGGAAUGAGUACAAUUUAAACCUCUUAACGAGGAACAAUUGGAGGGCAAGUCUGGUGCCAGCAGCCGCGGUAAUUCCAGCUCCAAUAGCGUAUAUUAAAGUUGUUGCAGUUAAAAAGCUCGUAGUUGAAACUUGGGCCUGGCUGGCGGGUCCGCCUCACCGCGUGCACUCGUCCGGCCGGGCCUUCCUUCUGAAGAACCUCAUGCCCUUCACUGGGCGUGCUGGGGAAUCAGGACUUUUACUUUGAAAAAAUUAGAGUGUUCAAAGCAGGCCUUUGCUCGAAUACGUUAGCAUGGAAUAAUAAAAUAGGGCGUGCGUUUCUAUUUUGUUGGUUUCUAGAGACGCCGCAAUGAUUAACAGGAACAGUCGGGGGCAUCAGUAUUCAGUUGUCAGAGGUGAAAUUCUUGGAUUUACUGAAGACUAACUACUGCGAAAGCAUUUGCCAAGGAUGUUUUCAUUAAUCAGUGAACGAAAGUUAGGGGAUCGAAGACGAUCAGAUACCGUCGUAGUCUUAACCGUAAACUAUGCCGACUAGGGAUCGGGCGAUGUUCUUUUUCUGACUCGCUCGGCACCUUACGAGAAAUCAAAGUUUUUGGGUUCUGGGGGGAUUAUGGUCGCAAGGCUGAAACUUAAAGGAAUUGACGGAAGGUCACCACCAGGCGUGGAGCUGCGGCUUAAUUUGACUCAACACGGGGAAACUCACCAGGUCCAGAUGAAAUAAGGAUUGACAGAUUGAGAGCUCUUUCUUGAUUUUUCAGGUGGUGGUGCAUGGCCGUUCUUAGUUCGUGGGGUGACUUGUCUGCUUAAUUGCGAUAACGAGCGAGACCUUACUCUGCUAAAUAGCCAGGCUAACUUUGGUUGGUCGCCGGCUUCUUAGAGAGACUAUCAACUCAAGUUGAUGGAAGUUUGAGGCAAUAACAGGUCUGUGAUGCCCUUAGAUGUUCUGGGCCGCACGCGCGCUACACUGACAGAGCCAACGAGUUCUUUUCCUUGUUCGAAAGAAUUGGGUAAUCUUGUUAAACUCUGUCGUGCUGGGGAUAAAGCAUUGCAAUUAUUGCUUUUCAACGAGGAAUGCCUAGUAAGCGCGUGUCAUCAGCAUGCGUUGAUUACGUCCCUGACCUUUGUACACACCGCCCGUCGCUACUACCGAUUGAAUGGCUCAGUGAGGCCUUCGGACUGGCUCGAGGAGGUUGGCAACGACCACCUCAAGCCGGAAAGUUCGUCAAACUCGGUCAUUUAGAGGAAGUAAAAGUCGUAACAAGGUCUCCGUAGGUUAC